GAUGAACGCUGGCGGCGUGCCUAAUACAUGCAAGUCGAGCGAACGGACGAGAAGCUUGCUUCUCUGAUGUUAGCGGCGGACGGGUGAGUAACACGUGGAUAACCUACCUAUAAGACUGGGAUAACUUCGGGAAACCGGAGCUAAUACCGGAUAAUAUUUUGAACCGCAUGGUUCAAAAGUGAAAGACGGUCUUGCUGUCACUUAUAGAUGGAUCCGCGCUGCAUUAGCUAGUUGGUAAGGUAACGGCUUACCAAGGCAACGAUGCAUAGCCGACCUGAGAGGGUGAUCGGCCACACUGGAACUGAGACACGGUCCAGACUCCUACGGGAGGCAGCAGUAGGGAAUCUUCCGCAAUGGGCGAAAGCCUGACGGAGCAACGCCGCGUGAGUGAUGAAGGUCUUCGGAUCGUAAAACUCUGUUAUUAGGGAAGAACAUAUGUGUAAGUAACUGUGCACAUUUUGACGGUACCUAAUCAGAAAGCCACGGCUAACUACGUG
Molecule: ribosomal RNA, 497 nt
Filed under: uncultured bacterium
Lineage: Bacteria
Description: partial 16S ribosomal RNA
Rfam family: Bacterial small subunit ribosomal RNA
Source: RNAcentral